UACGUAGGGGGCUAGCGUUGUCCGGAUUUAUUGGGCGUAAAGAGCGUGUAGGCGGCCAGGUAGGUCUGGUGUGAAAACUCGAGGCUUAACCUCGAGAUGUCAUCGGAAACCAUCUGGCUAGAGUCCGGAAGAGGAGAGUGGAAUUCCUGGUGUAGCGGUGAAAUGCGCAGAUAUCAGGAGGAACACCGGUGGCGAAGGCGGAUCUCUGGGCCUGUUCUGACGCUGAGGCGCGAAAGCUAGGGGAGCGAACAGG
This 253-nucleotide ribosomal RNA is filed under the name uncultured bacterium. RNAcentral describes it as "partial 16S ribosomal RNA". It matches the Rfam family "Bacterial small subunit ribosomal RNA", at positions 524 to 776 of the family's 1533-position model. The record is from RNAcentral.